GGGCAAGUGCGCGNUGCUAUACAUGCAGUAGAACGCUGAAGAGAGGAGCUUGCUCUUCUUGGAUGAGUUGCGAACGGGUGAGUAACGCGUAGGUAACCUGCCUUGUAGCGGGGGAUAACUAUUGGAAACGAUAGCUAAUACCGCAUAACAAUGGAUGACACAUGUCAUUUAUUUGAAAGGGGCAAUUGCUCCACUACAAGAUGGACCUGCGUUGUAUUAGCUAGUAGGUGAGGUAAUGGCUCACCUAGGCGACGAUACAUAGCCGACCUGAGAGGGUGAUCGGCCACACUGGGACUGAGACACGGCCCAGACUCCUACGGGAGGCAGCAGUAGGGAAUCUUCGGCAAUGGGGGCAACCCUGACCGAGCAACGCCGCGUGAGUGAAGAAGGUUUUCGGAUCGUAAAGCUCUGUUGUAAGUCAAGAACGGGUGUGAGAGUGGAAAGUUCACACUGUGACGGUAGCUUACCAGAAAGGGACGGCUAACUACGUGCCAGCAGCCGCGGUAAUACGUAGGUCCCGAGCGUUGUCCGGAUUUAUUGGGCGUAAAGCGAGCGCAGGCGGUUUGAUAAGUCUGAAGUUAAAGGCUGUGGCUCAACCAUAGUUCGCUUUGGAAACUGUCAAACUUGAGUGCAGAAGGGGAGAGUGGAAUUCCAUGUGUAGCGGUGAAAUGCGUAGAUAUAUGGAGGAACACCGGUGGCGAAAGCGGCUCUCUGGUCUGUAACUGACGCUGAGGCUCGAAAGCGUGGGGAGCGAACAGGAUUAGAUACCCUGGUAGUCCACGCCGUAAACGAUGAGUGCUAGGUGUUGGAUCCUUUCCGGGAUUCAGUGCCGCAGCUAACGCAUUAAGCACUCCGCCUGGGGAGUACGACCGCAAGGUUGAAACUCAAAGGAAUUGACGGGGGCCCGCACAAGCGGUGGAGCAUGUGGUUUAAUUCGAAGCAACGCGAAGAACCUUACCAGGUCUUGACAUCCCGAUGCUAUUUCUAGAGAUAGAAAGUUACUUCGGUACAUCGGUGACAGGUGGUGCAUGGUUGUCGUCAGCUCGUGUCGUGAGAUGUUGGGUUAAGUCCCGCAACGAGCGCAACCCCUAUUGUUAGUUGCCAUCAUUCAGUUGGGCACUCUAGCGAGACUGCCGGUAAUAAACCGGAGGAAGGUGGGGAUGACGUCAAAUCAUCAUGCCCCUUAUGACCUGGGCUACACACGUGCUACAAUGGUUGGUACAACGAGUUGCGAGUCGGUGACGGCGAGCUAAUCUCUUAAAGCCAAUCUCAGUUCGGAUUGUAGGCUGCAACUCGCCUACAUGAAGUCGGAAUCGCUAGUAAUCGCGGAUCAGCACGCCGCGGUGAAUACGUUCCCGGGCCUUGUACACACCGCCCGUCACACCACGAGAGUUUGUAACACCCGAAGUCGGUGAGGUAACCUUUGGAGCCAGCCGCCUAAGGUGGGGACAGAUGAGUGG
Molecule: ribosomal RNA, 1460 nt
Filed under: Streptococcus thermophilus
Lineage: Bacteria; Bacillati; Bacillota; Bacilli; Lactobacillales; Streptococcaceae
Description: bacterial SSU rRNA
Rfam family: Bacterial small subunit ribosomal RNA
Source: RNAcentral